CAGAGGCGAAGCUAAAUAGUUAGCGUCUCCCUUACACCGAGAAGGCACCUGUGCAAAUCAGGCCCCUCUGA
RNAcentral lists this transfer RNA (71 nucleotides) under Tomeurus gracilis. RNAcentral describes it as "tRNA-Val". It matches the Rfam family "tRNA". From Rfam's summary of the family: Transfer RNA (tRNA) molecules are approximately 80 nucleotides in length. Their secondary structure includes four short double-helical elements and three loops (D, anti-codon, and T loops). The record is from RNAcentral. Lineage: Eukaryota; Metazoa; Chordata; Actinopteri; Cyprinodontiformes; Poeciliidae.